This 465-nucleotide ribosomal RNA is filed under the name uncultured Klebsiella sp. RNAcentral describes it as "bacterial SSU rRNA". It matches the Rfam family "Bacterial small subunit ribosomal RNA", at positions 338 to 795 of the family's 1533-position model. The record is from RNAcentral. Lineage: Bacteria; Pseudomonadati; Pseudomonadota; Gammaproteobacteria; Enterobacterales; Enterobacteriaceae.
CCUACGGGCGGCAGCAGUGGGGAAUAUUGCACAAUGGGCGCAAGCCUGAUGCAGCCAUGCCGCGUGUGUGAAGAAGGCCUUCGGGUUGUAAAGCACUUUCAGCGGGGAGGAAGGCGUUAAGGUUAAUAACCUUGUCGAUUGACGUUACCCGCAGAAGAAGCACCGGCUAACUCCGUGCCAGCAGCCGCGGUAAUACGGAGGGUGCAAGCGUUAAUCGGAAUUACUGGGCGUAAAGCGCACGCAGGCGGUCUGUCAAGUCGGAUGUGAAAUCCCCGGGCUCAACCUGGGAACUGCAUUCGAAACUGGCAGGCUAGAGUCUUGUAGAGGGGGGUAGAAGUCCAGGUGUAGCGGUGAAAUGCGUAGAGAUCUGGAGGAAUACCGGUGGCGAAGGCGGCCCCCUGGACAAAGACUGACGCUCAGGUGCGAAAGCGUGGGGAGCAAACAGGAUUAGAUACCCGUGUAGUC